This 636-nucleotide long non-coding RNA is filed under the name Gopherus agassizii (Agassiz's desert tortoise). RNAcentral describes it as "lncRNA (ENSGAGG00000004537.1)". The record is from RNAcentral. Lineage: Eukaryota; Metazoa; Chordata; Testudines; Testudinidae.
GAAAAGGUUUAUUGAUGGGGUGGAAAUAGUCUCUCUCAAGAGUGCAUAUUUUACCUCCCCCCUCCCAAUCACCACCAAACAACCCACUUCACACUUUGACUGAAUGAAAAACAAAAUGCAGGGACAAUCAAGAAGCCAGUAAGUUAUUUACUGUCUAUCUCUAUAUGCACAUUCUUUAUUUAUUAACUCAGUUAAUUAUCAUCAACUUCUUUCACCAUGAAUUUCCUAAUGUCAAUACAUUGCAGUCAAUGAAGUAACGCUGUUUCUCUCUCUCUCUCUCUCUCUGUAGCCAGACAAUAGCAUGGCAAACUAUUGGCUAGUGAUACAGCAACACCGGGGGAAAUCACACCGCUAUUACAGAUCACAUCAUGGGCGUCUCCAGGCGCAGGGAGAGGAUUUGAAACAUCUUCUGAAUAAACCAGGAAGGCGCUGCCUUUUCCAAUAAGAACCAAACCUCUCCCACAAGAACAAUCCCUGUUUGCAGGAGUGUGUAAUUUCCACCUCAGCAGGAUAGCUCUCUACCUUCUCUACCUGCUCCUAGACACCCAACUCAAGGCUGGGCUAAAGCAAAGUACAAUGCCCUGGGAAUCACUUGUUUCAAACAAAUAAAACAAGGACAGCAAUGGAACUGAUCCA